UGCUUUUCUUGAUUAGUGGCGCACGGGUGAGUAAUGCAUGGAUAAUGUGCCCCUUAGUUCGGGAUAGCCACUGGAAACGGUGAUUAAUACCGGAUACUCCUUCUUGUUAUAAGACAAGUCGGGAAAGUUUUUCGCUAAGGGAUCAGUCUAUGUUCCAUCAGCUUGUUGGUGAGGUAAUGGCUCACCAAGGCUAUGACGGAUAUCUGGUUUGAGAGGAUGAUCAGACACACUGGAACUGAGACACGGUCCAGACUCCUACGGGAGGCAGCAGUGAGGAAUAUUGCACAAUGGAGGAAACUCUGAUGCAGCAACGCCGCGUGGAGGAUGACGCAUUUCGGUGUGUAAACUCCUUUUAUUAGGGAAGAUAAUGACGGUACCUAAUGAAUAAGCACCGGCUAACUCCGUGCCAGCAGCCGCGGUAAUACGGAGGGUGCAAGCGUUACUCGGAAUCACUGGGCGUAAAGGGUGCGUAGGCUGGCUUUUAAGUCAGAUGUGAAAUCCAAUGGCUCAACCAUUGAACUGCAUUUGAAACUGAAAGCCUAGAGUUCAGAAGGGGCAGAUGGAAUUAGUGGUGUAGGGGUAAAAUCCGUAGAUAUCACUAGGAAUAUCAAAAGCGAAGGCGAUCUGC
Molecule: ribosomal RNA, 628 nt
Filed under: uncultured bacterium
Lineage: Bacteria
Description: bacterial SSU rRNA
Rfam family: Bacterial small subunit ribosomal RNA
Source: RNAcentral